CAGUUGCAACCCCUCCCAGCUUGGUAUCAUCCUCAAACUUGGCUACAGAAUAACGUCCACGUUUUGCUCCAGAUCCUCCCAUCCUCCCUGGGGGAAGGAAAUGGCUGCAAUGGAGCUGGCUCAGGGGCCGGUGACUUUUGAGGAGGUGGCUGUGCAUUUCAC
Long non-coding RNA from Terrapene triunguis (Three-toed box turtle), 162 nucleotides. RefSeq lists it as uncharacterized. The transcript is spliced from 3 exons. NCBI's taxonomy places the organism in Eukaryota, Metazoa, Chordata, Testudines, Emydidae. The record is from RefSeq and is a predicted model, not a curated record.